CACCACCAGGAGUGGAGCCUGCGGCU
RNAcentral lists this non-coding RNA (26 nucleotides) under Arabidopsis thaliana (thale cress). Lineage: Eukaryota; Viridiplantae; Streptophyta; Magnoliopsida; Brassicales; Brassicaceae. The record is from RNAcentral. RNAcentral also lists the same sequence under 4 other names.